UAGGGCUGCACACAGCAGCCCAUUCCCCUUGCCCAUGUCUCCCCGUGAGCUCCAUGCGCCACCUGUGGGCUUUGCCUAUAUUUUUAGGCCCCGAGAUUUUAUUAUUUAAUAUUUUUAAAUAAUAUGGGUUUUUAUAUUUUCACCCACACUUUGAUUUGGCCCCGAAGACCAAAUAAAUUAAUUCAAUUAUCAUUAUACAAUAUUUUUGCAUAUAUUUGUUGCAUAUUUGUUUGCAUAUAUAUUUGUGUUUGCCUGCAGGAAUAUAUGAACUUGAAGUUCAUAAUUACUUUGAAACCCGAAGUUUCUUAUAAACAUGCCUUGUUUGAAAACCUGAAGUUUUCUCUUAAACAUAUCACCCAUGAAAACCCGAAGUUUUUCAUGCAAAAUUAAACAAAUACAUGUCUAUUAGAACCUGUAUGUUCUACUCCUAUGUGAAUGGAUUGAUUUUUCUCCAUUACACUAAACACAUCUUGUCCAUCUAUUUGUGAUAGGAACAUGUCGAAUUUGAA
Molecule: long non-coding RNA, 509 nt
Filed under: Malus domestica (apple)
Lineage: Eukaryota; Viridiplantae; Streptophyta; Magnoliopsida; Rosales; Rosaceae
Description: long non-coding RNA (MDOM_LNC013902)
Source: RNAcentral